AUGGCGGCGGAGAGGGUCAAGGGCGUCGGCAUCCUCGCCAUGGACAUCUACUUCCCGUCCAACUGCGUCCUCCAAGUUACUACACUUCACUCACACAUCCACCACACCACCAUCUCUCAUCUCCCUCUGAAUCUCAUUGCGCCGCCGCCCAUGUUCUCCUGUCACUCUACUAAAUUGCUAGGGAGAACCCCAAAAAAGCAGAGGGUCAGGGUUCACGCCGUGCAUUGUCAAUCUUGUUCUGUUGUUGUCAAUCUUGUCUGUUGGUUAAGAAUUUUUACCCGCAUGUACUAUUGUGCAUUAUUGCAGUUAUCAACGAACAAGAAUGAUCUACAAGGAUGA
RNAcentral lists this ribosomal RNA (339 nucleotides) under Triticum aestivum (bread wheat). RNAcentral's name for it is "partial small subunit ribosomal RNA". Lineage: Eukaryota; Viridiplantae; Streptophyta; Magnoliopsida; Poales; Poaceae. The record is from RNAcentral.